GACGAACGCUGGCGGCGUGCUUAAUACAUGCAAGUCGAACGCCCUCGACCUUCGGGUCACAUGAGGGAGUGGCGAACGGGUGCGUAACACGUGAGAAACCUACCCCGGAGUCGGGAAUAACUCGAGGAAACUCGUGCUAAUACCCGAUACCCCCACCGGAUCGCAUGGUCUGGUGAGGAAAGUUCCGGCGCUCCGGGACGGUCUCGCGGCCUAUCAGCUUGUUGGUGAGGUAACGGCUCACCAAGGCAUCGACGGGUAGCUGGUCUGAGAGGACGAUCAGCCACACUGGGACUGAGACACGGCCCAGACUCCUACGGGAGGCAGCAGUAGGGAAUCUUGCACAAUGGGCGAAAGCCUGAUGCAGCAACGCCGCGUGAGGGACGAAGGCCUUCGGGUUGUAAACCUCUUUCAGCAGGGACGAAAAUGACGGUACCUGCAGAAGAAGCCCCGGCCAACUACGUGCCAGCAGCCGCGGUAA
This 478-nucleotide ribosomal RNA is filed under the name uncultured bacterium. RNAcentral describes it as "partial 16S ribosomal RNA". It matches the Rfam family "Bacterial small subunit ribosomal RNA", at positions 28 to 523 of the family's 1533-position model. The record is from RNAcentral.